UUUUUCACCAAUGUUUUCGUUUGUAAUUUAAGACGCACGUGUGGAACUGUUGGACUAUUGGGGUAACAUUUUACAAAAUAAUAAAUUCUGUUGUCAAUAAUGACAAUACAACUUAAUAAACGCGGCUUAAUGUCGCUAAUACGCACAGAAAAUGAACGUAUCAUGGAUAUGUUGCUAACUUACAACGUGCCGGAUUCAAUAGAAACCGUCGAAUAUGAUGACUACCUGCUGCAUAAUAACAAAUCUGCUGCCAAAGCCAAAAAUACGUUGGAUGCUCGCAAGGUAACACCAAUCGAUGAGCUGCAGGACCGACUCAAUAUUAUUAAAAACAAAAUGAAAGCUAAGAAACGUCCAGCGUCUGAACGUUCAUUGAAGAGACGUGAAGCUAAGAAGCUUAGAAAGAAUAAGGAAGUUAAGAAAAUAUUGGUUUCCGCCGCGAAAUCAAUCAAAAAUGAACAGCAGAAACUGACUAAUUCAGGUGAUGGUGAAAAAGAGGAUAAAAAGGAUAUUAAGAAAUUAAUACCCAAACCCGUCUUCAACGAGGAGGGUAAAAUUGUAUUCUCCAAAUUCGAUUUCGCGUCACAUCCAGGUGCUAAAGUCAAGAAAUCACAUCAAAAUCCACGGGAGAUUUUAAAGAAAAUUAAACAGACAGAUAAGAAAAUCAACGAAUUAAAAGAACAGGGUGAGGUUGAGAAGGCAGCAGAAAUUAAAACCGAGAUAGCGUGGAAGAAAGCAUUUGAUAAAAUUGAAGGUAAAAAGGUAAAAGAUGAUCCAAAGCUUCUGUACAAGGCCAUCAAGAAGCGCAAGACUGAGAAGAAGAAAUCUAAAAAGGAGUGGGUGGAACGCAAACAGAAGGUUGAGUCAGGCAUUGAUCAACGGCAAAAGAAACGACAAGAGAACAUUAACAAACGUAUUAAUGAUAAGAAGACAAAGAAAUUGAAGACGCUGGCCAAAAAGGGACGAGUAAUACCCGGUUUCUAAUUGUUUUAAAUUAAGCUAUUUGCGCAAUGGAUUUGAAUUUAGCAAUCAUAGGAAGAUAAUUUAUAUACAAAUGUACGUUUUGCGAAUGUGCAGGAUCUAUGUGCCUAGGAUCUGUGAAUACAGGAGUCUUCGACUAGCCAAGCGUUAGCGAGGCAUGGUGAAAAGAAUUCUGAAGGGAGGUUUCAUUAUUCCUUCAACUUUGCGAAUUCUCUUUUGGUGCUCCCUAUGUGUUAGUUUUAAUCUACAGUCAACACCAAUAUUGAGAACAACGAGAACACUAAAGGUGUUGACAGAGCACGAGCAUCAUAAGUAAGAGGGUUGAUGGGUUAUAUACAGUUAGAAUGCCAAAAAAAAGCAAAUUUUCCAGAAUUUUAUCUGAGAAAACUUUUAAAUUUAUUGAUUUAAAGAUUCGUGCACAUAUUAUGUUAUCUUGUAACUGUAUUUAGUAUUAGUAGAAAUAUUUAUUUGAAAAGGAGCUACAGCUGAUUUCCGUGAGCUCCUCUAAAAAACGACGUUUUGCGGCACUAUAUCUCUGAACUGGAUCCUCUGAAAUUAAAAAAACUAAAUAGAUUUCGUUCAAGUAAUGUUAAAUCUAGUGUUUAAUCGAAGGAAUAGGCAGAAUAAUUUUUUUUGGCAAAAUGGUGAUUUGUCAAAACAAAAAAAAAAUUGAUUUUUUGACCAAAAUUUCGACCUUAAUUAAAUUGUUUAUAAAAAACAUUUAUCGAUGAGAAAAAAUCUUCAAUUAAUUACUAAAAAAUAUAUUUAAGAAGUGCUUAAAGUUUGAAAAGUACUUUCAAUCACUCUGAAACGCCUCUGCAAAUUUGUGUGUAACUUUGAAAAUAUUCAUCGGAACAAUAUUAAAUUUUCUGUAUGUAUUCUUAAUUAUAUGUACAUUAAGAAAAAAGAAACAAAACAAAAGAUCGAUUUUUUGAAAAUUCUAACUGUAUAUACCCCUUUAAAGCUGUUUUACUAAUAUUGAUUAAGUGCUUCCCAAAAAAUUUAAUUUCUGGUAGCUUUUUCCAGUGUGACCAGUAUAUAUAUAUAUAUUUACUAGCAAACCCGGCCCGCUUCGCUGGGCAGACUAAAAUAGAAUAGAUAUGGUUUAGAACAGAAAAGAUGUGGUUUUCAUAUUAUU
Molecule: RNA transcript, 2116 nt
Organism: Anastrepha ludens (Mexican fruit fly)
Lineage: Eukaryota; Metazoa; Arthropoda; Insecta; Diptera; Tephritidae
Gene: Surf6
Gene name: surfeit locus protein 6 homolog
Exons: 4
Source: RefSeq, a predicted model, not a curated record